UGAGGACGCUGGGCGGUCGCGGGCGCGCAUGCGUCCGAGGAAAGUCCGAGCUCCAUAGGGCAGGGUGCCGGCCAAUUACCGGUGGAGGCGACUCCAAGGAAAGUGCAACAGAGAUAUACCGCGAACCCGGCGUUUGCCGGGCGCAAGGGUGGAAAGGCGAGGUAAGAGCUCACCAGCGGCAUGGCGACUUGUCCGCUCUGUAAACCCCACCUGGUGCAAGAUUGAUAGGGGAGCAUAUGCGGCGGCCCGUCGCGCUCCCGGGAAAUCGCUGGAACCCGCUGGCAACCGCGGGUCUAGAUAGAUGACCGUCCACGACAGAACUCGGCUUACAGGCGCCGCUCACAGC
RNAcentral lists this RNase P RNA (346 nucleotides) under Clostridiales bacterium. RNAcentral's name for it is "RNase P RNA component class A". It matches the Rfam family "Bacterial RNase P class A". From Rfam's summary of the family: Ribonuclease P (RNase P) is a ubiquitous endoribonuclease, found in archaea, bacteria and eukarya as well as chloroplasts and mitochondria. Its best characterised activity is the generation of mature 5'-ends of tRNAs by cleaving the 5'-leader elements of precursor-tRNAs. Cellular RNase Ps are ribonucleoproteins. The record is from RNAcentral. Lineage: Bacteria; Bacillati; Bacillota; Clostridia; Eubacteriales. RNAcentral also lists the same sequence under 1 other name.